This 539-nucleotide ribosomal RNA is filed under the name Micromonospora sp. Its description in RNAcentral is "bacterial SSU rRNA". It matches the Rfam family "Bacterial small subunit ribosomal RNA", at positions 76 to 632 of the family's 1533-position model. Lineage: Bacteria; Bacillati; Actinomycetota; Actinomycetes; Micromonosporales; Micromonosporaceae. The record is from RNAcentral.
CCCUUCGGGGUACUCGAGCGGCGAACGGGUGAGUAACACGUGAGCAACCUGCCCCAGGCUUUGGGAUAACCCCGGGAAACCGGGGCUAAUACCGGAUAUGACCUUGCACCGCAUGGUGUUUGGUGGAAAGUUUUUCGGCUUGGGAUGGGCUCGCGGCCUAUCAGCUUGUUGGUGGGGUGAUGGCCUACCAAGGCGACGACGGGUAGCCGGCCUGAGAGGGCGACCGGCCACACUGGGACUGAGACACGGCCCAGACUCCUACGGGAGGCAGCAGUGGGGAAUAUUGCACAAUGGGCGGAAGCCUGAUGCAGCGACGCCGCGUGAGGGAUGACGGCCUUCGGGUUGUAAACCUCUUUCAGCAGGGACGAAGCGUAAGUGACGGUACCUGCAGAAGAAGCGCCGGCCAACUACGUGCCAGCAGCCGCGGUAAGACGUAGGGCGCGAGCGUUGUCCGGAUUUAUUGGGCGUAAAGAGCUCGUAGGCGGCUUGUCGCGUCGACCGUGAAAACCUGGGGCUCAACCCCAGGCCUGCGGUCGAUA